Oncorhynchus tshawytscha (Chinook salmon) is the source of this 522-nucleotide long non-coding RNA. The record is from Ensembl. NCBI's taxonomy places the organism in Eukaryota, Metazoa, Chordata, Actinopteri, Salmoniformes, Salmonidae.
GUGGCAGGUUGGCUAGUGGUUAGAGUGUAGAGGUGGCAGGUAGCCUAGUGGUUAGAGUGUAGAGGUGGCAGGUAGCCUAGUGGUUAGAGUGUAGAGGUGGCAGGGUAGCCUAGUGGUUAGAGUGUAGAGGUGGCAGGGUAGCCUAGUGGUUAGAGUGUAGAGGUGGCAGGGUAGCCUAGUGGUUAGAGUGUAGAGGUGGCAGGGUAUCCUAGUGGUUAGAGUGUAGAGGUGGUAGGUAACCUAGUGUUUAGAGUGUAGAGGAGGUAGGGUAGCCUAGUGGUUAGAGUGUAGAGGCGGCAGGUACCCUAGUGGUUAGAGUGUAGAGGUGGCAGGUAGCCUAGUGGUUAGAGUGUAGAGGUGGCAGGUAGCCUAGUGGUUAGAGUGUAGAGGUGGCAGGUAGCCUAGUGGUUAGAGUGUAGAGGUGGCAGGGUAGCCUAGUGGUUAGGGUGUAGAGGGGGUAGGUACACUAGUGGUUAGAGUGUAGAGGUGGCAGGUAGUCUAGUGGUUAGAGUGUAGAGGAGG